UGAAAAAAUCAGAGAAAGAUACAAAUUCUAAAGUAAGCAAGGUAAAACCCAAAGGCAAAGUUCGAUGGACUGGUUCUCGGACACGUGGCAGAUGGAAAUAUUCCAGCAAUGAUGAAAGUGAAGGGUCUGACAGUGAAAAAUCAUCUGCAGCUUCAGAAGAGGAAGAAGAAAAGGAAAGUGAAGAAGCCAUCCUAGCAGAUGAUGAUGAACCGUGCAAAAAAUGUGGCCUUCCAAACCAUCCUGAGCUAAUUCUUCUGUGUGACUCUUGCGAUAGUGGAUACCAUACUGCCUGCCUUCGCCCUCCUCUGAUGAUCAUCCCAGAUGGAGAAUGGUUCUGCCCACCUUGCCAACAUAAACUGCUCUGUGAAAAAUUAGAGGAACAGUUGCAGGAUUUGGAUGUUGCCUUAAAGAAGAAAGAGCGUGCCGAACGAAGGUAUUUUUGUAUGUGUGUUAAUGUUUUGUUUGGGAAUACGAGAGCAGAAUUGUCUCACUGUAUGGAUAAAUGGAUCCAUCUAAAACAAGGAUUGGCAUACUGUGGCCUGUGGGCCAAAUCCAGCCUCCUUUUUGUUUUUGUACUGCCUGCUAAGAAUGUUUUUUAUGUUUUUAAAUGAUUGGGGGGAAA
This 622-nucleotide small RNA is filed under the name Pongo abelii (Sumatran orangutan). RNAcentral's name for it is "retained intron". Lineage: Eukaryota; Metazoa; Chordata; Mammalia; Primates; Hominidae. The record is from RNAcentral.